CCUGGCUCAGGAUGAACGCUGGCGGCGUGCUUAACACAUGCAAGUCGAACGAAGAUGCCGGAGUGCUUGCACUUUGGCAGACUGAGUGGCGGACGGGUGAGUAACGCGUGGUAACCUGCCUUAUACAGGGGGAUAACAGUUGGAAACGACUGCUAAUACCGCAUAAGCGCACGGUAUCGCAUGAUACAGUGUGAAAAACUCCGGUGGUAUAAGAUGGACCCGCGUCUGAUUAGCUAGUUGGUGAGGUAACGGCCCACCAAGGCGACGAUCAGUAGCCGGCCUGAGAGGGUGAACGGCCACAUUGGGACUGAGACACGGCCCAAACUCCUACGGGAGGCAGCAGUGGGGAAUAUUGCACAAUGGGGGAAACCCUGAUGCAGCGACGCCGCGUGAGUGAUGAAGUAUUUCGGUAUGUAAAACUCUAUCAGCAGGGAAGAUAAUGACGGUACCUGACUAAGAAGCACCGGCUAAAUACGUG
This 478-nucleotide ribosomal RNA is filed under the name uncultured bacterium. RNAcentral describes it as "bacterial SSU rRNA". It matches the Rfam family "Bacterial small subunit ribosomal RNA", at positions 18 to 507 of the family's 1533-position model. The record is from RNAcentral.